AGAGUUUGAUCCUGGCUCAGAUUGAACGCUGGCGGCAUGCCUUACACAUGCAAGUCGAGCGGCAGCGCGGGGGCAACCCUGGCGGCGAGCGGCGAACGGGUGAGUAAUACAUCGGAACGUGUCCAGUAGUGGGGGAUAACCAGUCGAAAGAUUGGCUAAUACCGCAUACGAUCUACGGAUGAAAGCGGGGGACCGCAAGGCCUCGCGCUAUUGGAGCGGCCGAUGUCGGAUUAGCUAGUUGGCGGGGUAAGAGCCCACCAAGGCGACGAUCCGUAGCUGGUCUGAGAGGACGAUCAGCCACACUGGAACUGAGACACGGUCCAGACUCCUACGGGAGGCAGCAGUGGGGAAUUUUGGACAAUGGGCGCAAGCCUGAUCCAGCCAUGCCGCGUGAGUGAAGAAGGCCUUCGGGUUGUAAAGCUCUUUCGGCGGGGACGAAACGGUCCGUGACAACACCACGGACUAAUGACGGUACUCGCAGAAGAAGCACCGGCUAACUACGUGCCAGCAGCCGCGGUAAUACGUAGGGUGCAGGCGUUAAUCGGAAUUACUGGGCGUAAAGCGUGCGCAGGCGGCUCCUUAAGUCAGAUGUGAAAUCCCCGGGCUUAACCUGGGAACUGCGUUUGAACUGGGGAGCUUGAGUGUGGAAGAGGGGGGUGGAAUUCCAGGUGUAGCAGUGAAAUGCGUAGAGAUCUGGAGGAACACCAAUGGCGAAGGCAGCCCCCUGGGCUAACACUGACGCUCAUGCACGAAAGCGUGGGGAGCAAACAGGAUUAGAUACCCUGGUAGUCCACGCCCUA
RNAcentral lists this ribosomal RNA (800 nucleotides) under uncultured bacterium. Its description in RNAcentral is "bacterial SSU rRNA". It matches the Rfam family "Bacterial small subunit ribosomal RNA", at positions 8 to 804 of the family's 1533-position model. The record is from RNAcentral.